Molecule: ribosomal RNA, 403 nt
Filed under: uncultured Ktedonobacter sp.
Lineage: Bacteria; Bacillati; Chloroflexota; Ktedonobacteria; Ktedonobacterales; Ktedonobacteraceae
Description: partial 16S ribosomal RNA
Rfam family: Bacterial small subunit ribosomal RNA
Source: RNAcentral
UGAGGAAUUUUCGUCAAUGGGGGAAACCCUGAACGAGCAACGCCGCGUGCAGGAAGACGGCCUUCGGGUUGUAAACUGCUUUUCUUGGGGACGAGAACGGACGGUACCCAAGGAAUCAGCCUCGGCUAACUACGUGCCAGCAGCCGCGGUAAUACGUAGGAGGCGAGCGUUGUCCGGAGUUACUGGGCGUAAAGCGCACGCAGGCGGUUUAUUAAGUCUAUGAUGACAGUUCCCGGCUCAACUGGGGAAGUGUUGUAGAAACUGAUAGACUUGAGGGCUUCAGAGGGAUGUGGAACUCCAGGUGGAGUGGUGAAAUGCGUAGAUAUCUGGAAGAACACCAAAGGCGAAGGCAGCAUCCUGGGAAGUACCUGACGCUCAGGUGCGAAAGCUAGGGGAGCGAACG